AGAGUUUGAUCCUGGCUCAGGACGAACGCUGGCGGCGCGCCUAACACAUGCAAGUCGAACGAGAGAGAGGGAGCUUGCUUCCUCAAUCGAGUGGCGAACGGGUGAGUAACGCGUGAGGAACCUGCCUUUCAGAGGGGGACAACAGUUGGAAACGACUGCUAAUACCGCAUGACGCAUUUUGAUCGCAUGGUCGAAAUGCCAAAGAUUUAUCGCUGAAAGAUGGCCUCGCGUCUGAUUAGCUAGUUGGUGAGGUAACGGCCCACCAAGGCGACGAUCAGUAGCCGGACUGAGAGGUUGACCGGCCACAUUGGGACUGAGAUACGGCCCAGACUCCUACGGGAGGCAGCAGUGGGGAAUAUUGGGCAAUGGGCGCAAGCCUGACCCAGCAACGCCGCGUGAAGGAAGAAGGCUUUCGGGUUGUAAACUUCUUUUAAGUGGGAAGAGUAGAAGACGGUACCACUUGAAUAAGCCACGGCUAACUACGUGCCAGCAGCCGCGGUAAUACGUAGGUGGCAAGCGUUGUCCGGAUUUACUGGGUGUAAAGGGCGUGCAGCCGGGCAUGCAAGUCAGAUGUGAAAUCUCAGGGCUUAACCCUGAAACUGCAUUUGAAACUGUAUGUCUUGAGUGCCGGAGAGGUAAUCGGAAUUCCUUGUGUAGCGGUGAAAUGCGUAGAUAUAAGGAAGAACACCAGUGGCGAAGGCGGAUUACUGGACGGUAACUGACGGUGAGGCGCGAAAGCGUGGGGAGCGAACAGGGAUAGAUACCCUGGUAGUCCACGCUGUAAACGAUGGAUACUAGGUGUGCGGGGACUGACCCCCUGCGUGCCGCAAUUUAACCCAAUAAGUAUCCCACCUGGGGAGUACGAUCGCAAGGUUGAAACUCAAAGGAAUUGACGGGGGCCCGCACAAGCGGUGGAUUAUGUGGUUUAAUUAGAAGCAACGCGAAGAACCUUACCAGGUCUUGACAUCCUGCUAACGAAGUAGAGAUACAUUAGGUGCCCUUCGGGGAAAGCAGAGACAGGUGGUGCAUGGUUGUCGUCAGCUCGUGUCGUGAGAUGUUGGGUUAAGUCCCGCAACGAGCGCAACCCCUAUUGUUAGUUGCUACGCAAGAGCACUCUAGCGAGACUGCCGUUGACAAAACGGAGGAAGGUGGGGACGACGUCAAAUCAUCAUGCCCCUUAUGUCCUGGGCUACACACGUAAUACAAUGGCGGUCAACAGAGGGAUGCAAAACCGUAAGGUGGAGCGAACCCCUAAAAGCCGUCUCAGUUCAGAUUGUGGGCUGCAACCCGCCCACAUGAAGUCGGAAUCGCUAGUAAUCGCAGAUCAGCAUGCUGCGGUGAAUACGUUCCCGGGCCUUGCACUCACCGCCCGUCA
Molecule: ribosomal RNA, 1375 nt
Filed under: uncultured bacterium
Lineage: Bacteria
Description: bacterial SSU rRNA
Rfam family: Bacterial small subunit ribosomal RNA
Source: RNAcentral